RNAcentral lists this ribosomal RNA (893 nucleotides) under uncultured Acidobacteriota bacterium. RNAcentral's name for it is "bacterial SSU rRNA". It matches the Rfam family "Bacterial small subunit ribosomal RNA", at positions 539 to 1426 of the family's 1533-position model. Lineage: Bacteria; Pseudomonadati; Acidobacteriota. The record is from RNAcentral.
CGUUGUUCGGAAUUACUGGGCGUAAAGGGCGCGUAGGCGGUUUCGGAAGUCAUGGGUGAAAGUCCUCGGCUCAACCGAGGGAUUGCCUGUGAAACCACGGGACUGGAGUGCUGGAGAGGGAAGUGGAAUUCCCAGUGUAGCGGUGAAAUGCGUAGAUAUUGGGAGGAACACCUGUGGCGAAGGCGGCUUCCUGGACAGACACUGACGCUGAGGCGCGAAAGCCAGGGGAGCGAACGGGAUUAGAUACCCCGGUAGUCCUGGCUGUAAACGAUGAACACUUGGUGUGGGGGGUGAUGAAAGUCCCUCUGUGCCGGAGAGAACUCGUUAAGUGUUCCGCCUGGGGAGUACGGCCGCAAGGCUGAAACUCAAAGGAAUUGACGGGGGCCCGCACAAGCGGUGGAGCAUGUGGUUUAAUUCGACGCAACGCGAAGAACCUUACCGGGGUUUGAACUGUAGCUGAACGAUCUAGAGAUGGAGAGGUUCCUUUCGGGGACAGCUACAGAGGUGCUGCAUGGCUGUCGUCAGCUCGUGUCGUGAGAUGUUGGGUUAAGUCCCGCAACGAGCGCAACCCUUGUCUGUAGUUGCCAUCAAGUGAAGCUGGGCACUCUACGGAGACUGUCGGCGAGAAGCCGGAGGAAGGUGGGGAUGACGUCAAGUCCUCAUGGCCUUUAUGUCCCGGGCUACACACGUGCUACAAUGGGCGGUACAGAGGGUAGCGACCCUGUGAAGGCAAGCGAAUCCCAGAAAACCGCUCUCAGUUCGGAUUGCAGUCUGCAACUCGACUGCAUGAAGUUGGAAUCGCUAGUAAUCGCGGAUCAGAACGCCGCGGUGAAUACGUUCCCGGGCCUUGUACACACCGCCCGUCACAUCACGAAAGUGGGCUGUACUAGAAG